RNAcentral lists this ribosomal RNA (253 nucleotides) under uncultured bacterium. RNAcentral describes it as "partial 16S ribosomal RNA". It matches the Rfam family "Bacterial small subunit ribosomal RNA", at positions 524 to 776 of the family's 1533-position model. The record is from RNAcentral.
UACGUAGGGGGCAAGCGUUGUCCGGAUUUAUUGGGCGUAAAGAGCGUGUAGGCGGUUAGGUAGGUCCGUUGUGAAAACUCGAGGCUCAACCUCGAGACGCCGAUGGAAACCAUCUGACUAGAGUCCGGAAGAGGAGAGUGGAAUUCCUGGUGUAGCGGUGAAAUGCGCAGAUAUCAGGAAGAACACCCGUGGCUAAGGCGGCUCUCUAGUACGUGACUGACGCUGAGACGCGGAAGCGUGGGGAGCGAACAGG